UACGGAGGAUGCAAGCGUUAUCCGGAUUUAUUGGGUUUAAAGGGUGCGUAGGCGGAUGAAUAAGUCAGUGGUGAAAUCUCGCAGCUUAACUGCGAAAUUGCCAUUGAUACUGUAGGGCUUGAGUACAGUUGCCGUUGGCGGAAUAUGACAUGUAGUGGUGAAAUACAUAGAGAUGUCAUAGAACACCGAUUGCGAAGGCAGCUAACGAAACUGUAACUGACACUGAGGCUCGAAAGUGCGGGGAUCAAACAGG
This 253-nucleotide ribosomal RNA is filed under the name uncultured bacterium. RNAcentral's name for it is "partial 16S ribosomal RNA". It matches the Rfam family "Bacterial small subunit ribosomal RNA", at positions 524 to 776 of the family's 1533-position model. The record is from RNAcentral.